RNAcentral lists this ribosomal RNA (493 nucleotides) under uncultured bacterium. RNAcentral's name for it is "bacterial SSU rRNA". It matches the Rfam family "Bacterial small subunit ribosomal RNA", at positions 29 to 507 of the family's 1533-position model. The record is from RNAcentral.
AUGAACGCUAGCUACAGGCUUUAACACAUGCAAGGUCGAGGGGGCAGCAUGGUCUUAGCUUGCUAAGACUGAUGGCGACCGGCGCACGGGUGAGUAACACGUAUCCAACCUGCCGUCUACUCUUGGACAGCCUUCUGAAAGGAAGAUUAAUACAAGAUGGCAUCAUGAGUCCGCAUGUUCACAUGAUUAAAGGUAUUCCGGUAGACGAUGGGGGAUGCGUUCCAUUAGAUAGUAGGCGGGGUAACGGCCCACCUAGUCUUCGAUGGAUAGGGGUUCUGAGAGGAAGGUCCCCCACAUUGGAACUGAGACACGGUCCAAACUCCUACGGGAGGCAGCAGUGAGGAAUAUUGGUCAAUGGACGAGAGUCUGAACCAGCCAAGUAGCGUGCAGGAAGACAGCCCUAUGGGUUGUAAACUGCUUUUAUAAGGGAAUAAAGUGGGAGUCGUGACUCUUUUUGCAUGUACCUUAUGAAUAAGGACCGGCUAAUUCCGUG